Molecule: ribosomal RNA, 520 nt
Filed under: uncultured Glomeromycotina
Lineage: Eukaryota; Fungi; Glomeromycota
Description: SSU rRNA
Rfam family: Eukaryotic small subunit ribosomal RNA
Source: RNAcentral
AGCAGCCGCGGUAAUUCCAGCUCCAAUAGCGUAUAUUAAAGUUGUUGCAGUUAAGAAGCUCGUAGUUGAACUUCGGGGUUUACCCAUUGGUCAGGUUUAAUUAUCUGUACUGGUGAGAUAAAUCUCUACCUUCUGAGGAACUUUCAUGCCAUUUAUUUGGUGUGGGAGGAAAUCAGGACUGUUACUUUGAAAAAAUUAGAGUGUUUAAAGCAGGCUAACGUCUGAAUACAUUAGCAUGGAAUAAUGAAUAGGACGGACUGAUUCUAUUUCGUUGGUUUCUAGGAUCACCGUAAUGAUUAAUAGGGAUAGUUGGGGGCAUUAGUAUUCAAUUGUCAGAGGUGAAAUUCUUGGAUUUAUUGAAGACUAACUACUGCGAAAGCAUUUGCCAAGGAUGUUUUCAUUAAUCAAGAACGAAAGUUAGGGGAUCGAAGACGAUCAGAUACCGUCGUAGUCUUAACCAUAAACUAUGCCGACUAGGGAUCGGAACGAAGUUAAUUUAUAAUGACGCGUUCGGCACCUU